AGCAGCCGCGGUAAUUCCAGCUCCAAUAGCGUAUAUUAAAGUUGUUGCAGUUAAAAAGUUCGUAGUUGAAUUUCGGGAUUAGUAGUCUGGUCGUGCCACUGGUAUGUACUGGUCUUACUGAUUUCUCCUUCUUGAAGAACCGUAAUGUCAUUAAUUUGUUGUUGCGGGGAAUCUGGACUGUUACUUUGAAAAAUUAGAGUGUUUAAAGCAGGCUAACGCUUGAAUACAUUAGCAUGGAGUAAUGAAAUAGGACGUUCGAUCCUAUUUUGUUGGUUUCUAGGAUUGACGUAAUGAUUAAUAGGGAUAGUUGGGGGCAUUAGUAUUCAAUUGUCAGAGGUGAAAUUCUUGGAUUUAUUGAAGACUAACUACUGCGAAAGCAUUUGCCAAGGAUGUUUUCAUUAAUCAAGAACGAAAGUUAGGGGAUCGAAGACGAUCAGAUACCGUCGUAGUCUUAACCAUAAACUAUGCCGACUAGGGAUCGGAUGAUGUUAAUUUUAUAAUGACUCAUUCGGCGCCUUAA
This 520-nucleotide ribosomal RNA is filed under the name uncultured Glomus. RNAcentral describes it as "SSU rRNA". It matches the Rfam family "Eukaryotic small subunit ribosomal RNA", at positions 569 to 1091 of the family's 1831-position model. The record is from RNAcentral. Lineage: Eukaryota; Fungi; Glomeromycota; Glomeromycetes; Glomerales; Glomeraceae.